Paramuricea clavata is the source of this 405-nucleotide non-coding RNA. The record is from the annotation of a GenBank genome assembly. NCBI's taxonomy places the organism in Eukaryota, Metazoa, Cnidaria, Anthozoa, Malacalcyonacea, Plexauridae.
CAGCGAAGAUUAUAGGAAAUUAUUGAUCAUCACAUUUUUGACUUGAGUAAAACAACGUACUGCGCAUGCAUUAAUAAACGAAAAUACAAUGGCUUCAAAUGAACGUAUUAAGACUGCAGCGGUUAUAUCAUGGAUUUUGUCGAUUACUGCAAUAGCUCUGGUUAUAUACUGGAUGGUACACUAUAAUGACGGUUAUAAAGUUGACAUAUGGCAUUUUCACGACGCUAGAAUCUUUAACUAUCAUCCACUGUUUAUGGUAAUAGCGUUUAUUUUCCUUGCUCCGACAGGUUAGUGCAUAAUGUAAAUAUUAUCAGGCAUACUACAUUAAAUAUACAACUUGCAGGGCCGCAGCGAUCGAAGAGGCUAAGGUUGGGACUUGGGGGUGUAUAGUAUCGCAUUUGCCGA